AUGUUACUUUUAGGUUUAAAAAAUAUGAACAUAACAAAAUUAAACGAAUUACAAAUAAACACAUUUUUGACUAUACAAAAAGGAAAAGAUGUAAUUAUAAAUUAUUUAGAUGGGUAUGGAAAAACAAUUGCAUAUUUAUUACCUAUUUUAAACAAUAUUUAUUUUUUACAUGAUUUUUUAGAAAAAAUAAUAUUAGAUUGUUAUAACAGUAAAUCAGAAAUAACUAAAAGAAAUCAUAAUUAUAUUGAAAAUAAUUAUAAAUAUAAUAAUGAACAUUUUGAUUUAUAUAAAGAGAUGAAUAAUUAUUUUUUAAAAUAUAGUCACUAUAAAAAUAAUGCAUUAUUUGAAGACAAUACUGUACAAAUAAAAAAACAAAUGGAUGAAAAUAAUACAUUCAAUUUUUUACCUCCAUGUUUUGAUGAACAAUUAAAUAUAAAGAAUGUGUCAAAAUAUAAACGCUUAGGUAGAAAUUCGUCCAAUAAAAAUUUUAAAAAGACGACUGAUUAUUUAACUGGGAUGGAUCAGAAUAGCGACAUAACGCAAAAACAUGACACGACGCAAAAACAUGACACGACGCAAAAACAUCACAUAACAAUUAUGAACAAAUUAAUCGAAAUAAUAAAAAUAAACAAUAUAAACUUAAGUAAUCUGAACAGGGAUGAAAUAAAUCAAAAAGAGUUACAAAAGUUAGAUAAUAUAUUAAAAUGUAAAACAAUAGGAAAUGAAAAAAUUUAUGCACAUAAAUAUAAUGACAAAUAUAAUACAAACAAAAUAAAUAAUACAAAUAUAUCAUCAAACAAAUAUGAAUCUAUAUAUAGGUAUUUAAUUCGUAAUCCUUUACAAGUAAAUAAACCAGUUGUCAUACUAACAGUAAAUAAAGAUAAUAUUGUUCAAAUUAUUAACGUAAUAAAACAAUUGGACAUUUUAAAUAGAAUUAAUGUUCAGACUUUGAAUAAUGUACCUUAUGUAACUAACUUAGGUUUGGCAAACGAUGGAUUAGGUGACGCAGUAAAUCGUACCACAAAUGAGGAAAAAAAUGAACAGAAAGAUGAAGAAAAAUGGGAAGAAAAAGAUGAAGAAAAAUGGGAAGAAAAAGAUGAAGAAAAAUGGAAAGAAAAAGAUGAAGAAAAAUGGAAAGAAAAAGAUGAAGAAAAAUGGGAAGAAAAAUGCGACGAAGCAAAUGAGAUAGAGCACUUGAUAGACUACGGAAUAUAUCACAGAACAAAUGAAAAUAACACAUUAGAUAUACCUUAUCCGAAUGGCAAAAAAAACAUAAAAAUAAACAAAAAUAUUAAUGAUUAUAGUCUCGAAAACUUAAACCCAAUAAACAUAAACUAUGUAGAAAAUCCUGUUCUAUGUAACGAUCAAAUUGUAUGGACAUAUGCUGAUAUAAUAAUAACAACACCUGAUUUAUUUCUUAAUAGUUAUAAAAAUAAUUCGACUAUAGUUAAUAGAAAUAACAAUCGCACUACUGGUAGUACAAGUAGUGGUAGUAACGAUUUUAUUUUACCAACUGUUGUUAUAUUUGAUGAAAUUGAUAUGCUUUUUCAAAAUAAUGCUUAUAGAAAUACAAUUAUGGACAUAUUUCAAAUGAUAAAAAAAAGACCUGAUAUUUAUAAUCCUCAUAUUGACAUAAGUAAUAAAAGUAUUGAAAAUGUGAAUAAAGAAAUUGAAAGUUUGUUACUAUAUCCAAAAAAGGAAAGUGAUACAUACAGUGACACUAACGAAUCGGAAACUUACUACAAAAAAAACGACAACGGUAAUGACAACGGUAAUAACAACGGUAACGACAACAGAAAAAAUAAUAACGAUACCAUUGAAAAUGUCAAUAAAUAUAACAAACAGACGAAUGAACAAGAUAUUUUGUAUGGUAAUAGUAAAGAAUCUAUCUUUACAUUCAGUUCGAAAGAAUUAAACAAAAAAAAGGUAAAAAGUAAUAAAGAAAAAAACGAGGAUAUACCACUAAUUCAAUUGAUUUAUGUUUGUUCUACUUUACCAUCAGUUGGACAUACUACAUGUGGUAGUAUGUUAUCAGAACGAUUCAACAGUAUCGAUGAAAUAGUAAGUAAGGAUAAUUAUAAAAUACCCAAAAAUAUAUAUACACAAUGGAUCGAGUUAAAUAAAGAAAAAAUCAUUAAUUUGUAUUUAUUUAACAGUAGUAAAAAUAAGAGUGUUUAUGGUAUGAGUAGUGAUGGUGGUGUUGGUGGUGUUGAUGGUGUUGGUGGUGUUGAUGGUAGUGAUGGUGGUGAUGGUAGUAAUGAUAGUAACAGGAGCAAUAAUAAAAAACAUCAACAAACAAAUUUAAAAGAUUAUUCUUUGUCAAAUCAAAUUAACGAAUUUGAAAACUCUUCGUUUGAUCAUCGAUUAGAUGUUUUAAUGUAUGUACUAAAAAAAUAUCAUGAACAAACCAUUAUGUUUACAGACUUUUGUGAAAAACGAACUAGUUUGAACCAGUCGUUUACAAGCGGUGAAAGUAACGGUGAUAGUAACGGUGGCAAUAGAAACGGUAACAACAACGGUAACAACAACGGUAACAACGGUAACAACAACGGUAACAACAACGGUAACAACAACGGUAACAACAACGGUAACAACGGCAGUAGCAAAAACUUUCAACUUAUAAAUAUACCCCAUCCAAUUUAUAAAACAAUAGUAUUUGUGGAAAGUAUAAAAUGUUGUAUAAACGUUUUUAAUUUUUUGAAAAAACAUAGUUGGCCUGCUUUUCUAUUCCACAAAAACUUAUCAUUAAAUACGAGAAUACAUAACUUAUAUAAUUUUUAUUAUUCAAGAGUAGGUAUAUUAAUAACAACAGAUUUGUUGAGUCGGGGAAUUGAUACAAAAAAAGUAGAUCAUAUAAUUAAUUUUCAUUUCCCUUCCGAUGUAAUUACUUAUAUUCACAGAUUAAGUAAGAUUAACAGAUUGAAUAGUUAUAUAAUGGGUAAUUCCAAUAAUAAUGUCGUGCUUAAUACAUAUAACGAAAGUAAAAAAAAAAGAGACAAUUAUGACAAUACAAUGAAAAAAAAAAAUACGAUUGCAAAGCAAACGACUGCAAAACAAACGACUGCAAAACAAACGACUGCAAAACAAACGACUGCAAAACUAGAAGAAAGUACAUCUGAAAAAAAAUAUAUCGUUACAAAUUUUAUUUCUUCUUCUAAUUUACCAUUAGCUUCACAUAUCCAAAAACUCGUUCAAAAAAAUAUAACUUUACUUUCAUUAUUUUCAAGAAAAAAAUCUUUUAAAAUGAAAUGUAAAAGAGAAAGCAAUGAAUAUAAUAAUGAAAAAUAUAUUCAAAUGGAUUUAGAAAAAAAAAAUAACAUACAGUUGGAUAUGAACGAUUAUAAGCUUAACGAACUUCUUAGGAUUCAUAAACAACCAAUUAAUAAUUUAAAAACCGAAGAAAAUAUAAAAGAUUAUUAUUUGGCAAGUAAAACAUUAAGUAAAAAUACUGAUAGAAAUAAUAACAAUUUAUAUGUACAUGCUCCAUUUACUGUUUUUUCAGAGCAUGUUUCGGAGGAAACAGAGUUUACAAAUAAAAAUAACGAAUCUAACAUAUUUGAAAAAACAAAAACAAACAAUAACAAUGACAAUAAUAAAAACAACCAUGUUUAUAAAAACGAUCAAAACGAUCAAAACAUUCAGGAUGUUCAGAAUGUUCAGAAUGUUACUAAAAGCUAUAACAAUUGCAGUUAUAACAAUGAUUAUUAUACAACAAAAGAAGAAUGCAACUUAUCUCAAAAUGAGAAAAGUAACACAAAAGACAUUUUUGGUAAUAAAAAUAUGAAAAAUAUGUCUAAUUCCAAUUUAGUUAGAGAGUUUGAAACAAAACCAUCUUCGGAAUCUAUAACUGGACCUCCCAACUUGAAUAUAUUACCUUCGUGGGAUGACGUCAUUUUUGAUCAUAAAAAAUAUGUUAUUGAGAGAUUUAAAAACAAGGACUGUUAUUUAAUAGGAAAUGUCAAAAGAGGCAAAAUGAUUUUAAAUAAUUUUGAAAAUAAUAAUAAUAGUGAUGACGAUUUGUUAUUUUGA
Piliocolobus tephrosceles (Ugandan red Colobus) is the source of this 4029-nucleotide long non-coding RNA. Lineage: Eukaryota; Metazoa; Chordata; Mammalia; Primates; Cercopithecidae. The record is from Ensembl.